GUAAAUUGAUAUUAUAUUAUCAUACUUCUUAUAUGAUUUGCAUAUUAGAGAAUACUUUUAUAUAAUUGGUCGAGAGGACCUCCAGUAGUUGUUCAUGAAUUUGUUUAUUUCUCGAUAUAGGACGUUGACCAAACUUCUUUUUGUAAUCAAUGAGGCGAUAGUACAUGUAACACAAUCUGACUCAAUGUUAAAACUAUUUAUUUGCACAUGGCGUUAAUCUUUAAAUUGAAUACAAACACAAAAAAUUACUUUGAUGAUCAUAAUAAGACUUUUAGUAACAAGGAGUACAUAUUUUUGUGUGAACCAACAAAUAAAUUCAUGUGCCUGGCCAAUUCAAUGACACAAAUAUACUACAUGUAUUACCCUAUGAUGGUGAUAACGAGUGUGGAAAAUUAUUUGUUUUGGCCAAAAUUAAAGAAUAAGGAUUAAACGCUUUUUUAGAGGAAUGUAUUGGUUAAUAAACUGGACCAAGUCACUCACAAAUAUAUUUUCAGAGAAUGCAGUUUUCAUUAAAUUGGACAAACGUUCUAGUGAGUCCCUUGAAAACUGAAUCUGCUCCAUAUUUAUUUUUUGUUUUUGAGAGUAUACUUUUUUAUAAGUGUCAUC
Molecule: long non-coding RNA, 606 nt
Filed under: Mytilus galloprovincialis (Mediterranean mussel)
Lineage: Eukaryota; Metazoa; Mollusca; Bivalvia; Mytilida; Mytilidae
Source: RNAcentral